GAUUUAUAAGAAACCCUUAGCUGAAUGCAGGGUGGGGAGAACGAAAGACAAAAGCAUCUUUUUUCAGAAGGGAAACUGAAAGAAAGAGGGGAAGAGUAUUAAAGACCAUUUCUGGCUGGGCAGGGCACUCUCAGCAGCUCAACUGCCCAGCGUGACCAGUGGCCACCUCUGCAGUGUCUUCCACAACCUGGUCUUGACUCGUCUGCUGGACAAAGCCUCUGACCUCAGGCCGGCUGUGAACGUAGUUCCUGAGAGAUAGCAAACAUGCCCAACAGUGAGCCCGCAUCUCUGCUGGAGCUGUUCAACAGCAUCGCCACACAAGGGGAGCUCGUGAGGUCUCUCAAAGCGGGAAAUGCAUCAAAGGAUGAAAUUGAUUCUGCAGUAAAGAUGUUGGUGUCAUUAAAAAUGAGCUACAAAGCUGCCGCGGGGGAGGAUUACAAGGCUGACUGUCCUCCAGGGAACCCAGCACCUACCAGUAAUCAUGGCCCAGAUGCCACAGAAGCUGAAGAGGAUUUUGUGGACCCAUGGACAGUACAGACAAGCAGUGCAAAAGGCAUAGACUACGAUAAGCUCAUUGUUCGGUUUGGAAGUAGUAAAAUUGACAAAGAGCUAAUAAACCGAAUAGAGAGAGCCACCGGCCAAAGACCACACCACUUCCUGCGCAGAGGCAUCUUCUUCUCACACAGAGAUAUGAAUCAGGUUCUUGAUGCCUAUGAAAAUAAGAAGCCAUUUUAUCUGUACACGGGCCGGGGCCCCUCUUCUGAAGCAAUGCAUGUAGGUCACCUCAUUCCAUUUAUUUUCACAAAGUAAGUAUUGGAUCUUAUGGCUUUUCUUACUCUCUUAGUGAAUUGAGAAUGUUGCUUAUAAACCAUGUUUAGAACUGACAAGAUCAUGCUAGUUCAUUUGCUGAGCAACCAAGAUGUCAAGAGUUGGCACUUUUUUGGCUUCCAUUCACUUUGUUCCUGGGCUCACUUUAGAGGACCAUGGAGUGAUGGGGAGAGCGCAGCUUUGGAGUCAGCCAGGCCUGCUCCUCUUCUCAUCCUGCUCCCUGUCCGCAUGG
This 1060-nucleotide small RNA is filed under the name Pan troglodytes (chimpanzee). RNAcentral describes it as "retained intron". Lineage: Eukaryota; Metazoa; Chordata; Mammalia; Primates; Hominidae. The record is from RNAcentral.